RNAcentral lists this ribosomal RNA (527 nucleotides) under uncultured bacterium. RNAcentral's name for it is "bacterial SSU rRNA". It matches the Rfam family "Bacterial small subunit ribosomal RNA", at positions 338 to 855 of the family's 1533-position model. The record is from RNAcentral.
CCUACGGGAGGCAGCAGUGGGGAAUUUUGGACAAUGGGCGCAAGCCUGAUCCAGCAAUGCCGCGUGAGUGAAGAAGGCCUUCGGGUUGUAAAGCUCUUUUGUCAGGGAAGAAACGGUGGUUCCUAAUACGGACUACUAAUGACGGUACCUGAAGAAUAAGCACCGGCUAACUACGUGCCAGCAGCCGCGGUAAUACGUAGGGUGCAAGCGUUAAUCGGAAUUACUGGGCGUAAAGCGUGCGCAGGCGGUUAUAUAAGUCAGAUGUGAAAUCCCCGGGCUCAACCUGGGAACUGCAUUUGAGACUGUAUGGCUAGAGUGUGUCAGAGGGGGGUUAGAAUUCCACGUGUAGCAGUGAAAUGCGUAGAUAUGUGGAGGAAUACCGAUGGCGAAGGCAGCCCCCUGGGAUAACACUGACGCUCAUGCACGAACGACGUGGGGAGGACGAACGAGGAGUAGUAUACCGUACGGUAGUACCGACCGACCGUAACCGUACGUAGUACUACUAGUUAGUCGGGUACGUUAACUUA